AUGUUAAACUUCUCUGAUUCUUGGGUUUUGUUCAAGAGAUUCAUAGUAACAACUCAGAUAUUAUAUAGACAACAGGCUCAUGCAUACCAACUAUUGAGUAAAAUUCAGAGAUGUUUGCAAUGCUCGGCACUAAGGUAGGAGCUGUGAAACCCACACUGAGAUACCAU
Molecule: long non-coding RNA, 167 nt
Filed under: Mustela putorius furo (domestic ferret)
Lineage: Eukaryota; Metazoa; Chordata; Mammalia; Carnivora; Mustelidae
Description: lncRNA (ENSMPUG00000027051.1)
Source: RNAcentral